Molecule: ribosomal RNA, 120 nt
Filed under: Pteropus alecto (black flying fox)
Lineage: Eukaryota; Metazoa; Chordata; Mammalia; Chiroptera; Pteropodidae
Source: RNAcentral
UCUUACGGCCUAAAAUCAUACAAAUGUAAUAAAGCUAUUUCAAAAUUUCUAAUAAAGCAGGGUCGGGCCUGGUUAGUACUUGGAUGGGAGACCACCUAGGAAGACCAGGUGCUGUAGGUG